RNAcentral lists this ribosomal RNA (898 nucleotides) under Bacillus altitudinis. RNAcentral describes it as "bacterial SSU rRNA". It matches the Rfam family "Bacterial small subunit ribosomal RNA", at positions 56 to 936 of the family's 1533-position model. Lineage: Bacteria; Bacillati; Bacillota; Bacilli; Caryophanales; Bacillaceae. The record is from RNAcentral.
UGCAAGUCGAGCGGACAGAAGGGAGCUUGCUCCCGGAUGUUAGCGGCGGACGGGUGAGUAACACGUGGGUAACCUGCCUGUAAGACUGGGAUAACUCCGGGAAACCGGAGCUAAUACCGGAUAGUUCCUUGAACCGCAUGGUUCAAGGAUGAAAGACGGUUUCGGCUGUCACUUACAGAUGGACCCGCGGCGCAUUAGCUAGUUGGUGAGGUAACGGCUCACCAAGGCGACGAUGCGUAGCCGACCUGAGAGGGUGAUCGGCCACACUGGGACUGAGACACGGCCCAGACUCCUACGGGAGGCAGCAGUAGGGAAUCUUCCGCAAUGGACGAAAGUCUGACGGAGCAACGCCGCGUGAGUGAUGAAGGUUUUCGGAUCGUAAAGCUCUGUUGUUAGGGAAGAACAAGUGCAAGAGUAACUGCUUGCACCUUGACGGUACCUAACCAGAAAGCCACGGCUAACUACGUGCCAGCAGCCGCGGUAAUACGUAGGUGGCAAGCGUUGUCCGGAAUUAUUGGGCGUAAAGGGCUCGCAGGCGGUUUCUUAAGUCUGAUGUGAAAGCCCCCGGCUCAACCGGGGAGGGUCAUUGGAAACUGGGAAACUUGAGUGCAGAAGAGGAGAGUGGAAUUCCACGUGUAGCGGUGAAAUGCGUAGAGAUGUGGAGGAACACCAGUGGCGAAGGCGACUCUCUGGUCUGUAACUGACGCUGAGGAGCGAAAGCGUGGGGAGCGAACAGGAUUAGAUACCCUGGUAGUCCACGCCGUAAACGAUGAGUGCUAAGUGUUAGGGGGUUUCCGCCCCUUAGUGCUGCAGCUAACGCAUUAAGCACUCCGCCUGGGGAGUACGGUCGCAAGACUGAAACUCAAAGGAAUUGACGGGGGCCCGCACAAGCGGUGGA